UUCACAAUACAGAUAAGUGAUAGCAAAAACAGGGUGUGACACAUUUCAUCCACUUCUUGAUUUGGGUUGUGCCUCUUCAUGUCAAAUAAUAUUUACAUCAUAGAUAUACAUUCAGUCCAGAUUCGAAGCCAAUAUGUUUUACAAUCCAAAAAUAAAUUGAAAGUAAACAUAGUGGCAAGUAAAUAUACACCAAAUUCUCAGCAAAAUCACCAGUAAACAAAAUUCCAAGAAAAAAUGGCAUUACAACAAAGUCCUGCACUUCCCUAGAUCCAGCAUGCAUUUAUUUUUCCAACUUCUUCAUCCUGGAGCUCAGGACGAAACAUGAAUAAAGUCUGUGCAAAUUAAAAGGGUAUAUGCAUCAGCGGGUAGCUAAAGUGAAACUAAUUAAGACGAUUUUGUUAGUUAAACUGAGAGGAACUGAAAACUGGAAAGCUUAAUUCAUACAUAUUUCAUACAUUCAUGUGUGGAGUUAUUACAGUAUACAAGUAGUAGUACAAGGACUGACUAACUGCAGCUAUACACGUUCUGCUGGUCAUGAACUGCUGCUACAAGUGACUCAAUAUGAUACAACAACACAGAGUAGUGAAGUUGUGCAAAAAAAUCUAAUUACACCUUAUAAUUAUGCAUUUCAUCUCAACUCUGAAUAGUGAUGUAAUAUGAAAAAAAGGUACAUUGUGAUGGGUACCAUAGCUCCUUCAGCCUAACAGCCACACUCACGAGAUUUGCAACAUUUACAUUGUGUAACCAACACGUAGUUAUGAACAUUUUUUAGCACUUGUGAGCAAAAA
This 788-nucleotide long non-coding RNA is filed under the name Hordeum vulgare. Its description in RNAcentral is "long non-coding RNA (HVUL_LNC015998)". Lineage: Eukaryota; Viridiplantae; Streptophyta; Magnoliopsida; Poales; Poaceae. The record is from RNAcentral.